UUCCAUAAACAGAACAGCCAAUUCAGGGG
This 29-nucleotide non-coding RNA is filed under the name Mus musculus (house mouse). Lineage: Eukaryota; Metazoa; Chordata; Mammalia; Rodentia; Muridae. The record is from RNAcentral.